GACGAACGCUGGCGGCGUGCUUAACACAUGCAAGUCGAACGGAAAGGCCCUGCUCUUGUGGGGUGCUCGAGUGGCGAACGGGUGAGUAACACGUGAGUAACCUGCCCUUGACUUUGGGAUAACUUCAGGAAACUGGGGCUAAUACCGGAUAGGAGCUCCUGCUGCACGGGGGGGGUGGGAAAGUUUCGGCGGUUGGGGAUGGACUCGCGGCUUAUCAGCUUGUUGGUGGGGUAGUGGCUGACCAAGGCUUUGACGGGUAGCCGGCCUGAGAGGGUGACCGGCCACAGUGGGCCUGAGAUACGGCCCAGACUCCUACGGGCGGCAGCAGUGGGGAAUAUUGCACGAUGGGCGGAGGCCUGAUGCAGCAACGCCGCGUGCGGGAUGACGGCCUUCGGGUUGUAAGCCGCUUUCGCCUGUGACGAAGCGUGAGUGACGGUAAUUGGUAAAGAAGCACCGGCUAACUACGUG
This 468-nucleotide ribosomal RNA is filed under the name uncultured bacterium. RNAcentral's name for it is "partial 16S ribosomal RNA". It matches the Rfam family "Bacterial small subunit ribosomal RNA", at positions 28 to 507 of the family's 1533-position model. The record is from RNAcentral.